Molecule: long non-coding RNA, 838 nt
Filed under: Monodelphis domestica (gray short-tailed opossum)
Lineage: Eukaryota; Metazoa; Chordata; Mammalia; Didelphimorphia; Didelphidae
Description: lncRNA (ENSMODG00000033576.2)
Source: RNAcentral
AAAAGCUUAAUUAGCCAGUUCUAAUAUUUCUGACUCUUUUCUUCUUAUGUUCUAAGUAUGAAGUACAUAUGAAGUACAUUAUAGAAUGAGUUGCUGUCGGUCAUCCAUCCCCAUUGGCUGGAACAAUCAAUGUUGUCCAUCAUCUCACCAUCAGACCUUAACAUUCUCAACAGUGGUCCCUAUGGAAUUAUAUUGUUCCCUUUGAACAUAUUGCUUCAAUAAGUAGAAAUUAUUUCAGAAACUUUGAGUUGUGUUGGACAUGGCAAGAAACACUUGAGGACCUGACAAAAUGCUUUCUACAAUCUCAGACAGCUUACAGCAUGGUGUGACAAACAAAAAUUUCCCCAGGACAUGCACAACACAGGAGAACAUUAAAGUGGUUACACAGUGAAAGCUAUUCAGGUUGUCAGACCCCUGGAAGCACACACACUUUUUCUCCAUGGAGGAGAUCCUGAAGCUUCUUUUCCUCAUCCUCCUAUCAAGACAAUUCAAUCUGCAUUUUGCAAAUAAAUUUUUCUUUCACCAACACAAUCCUCCAUUAAAUGAAUUUUGGGACUCCAAGCAGCCUCAAAGUGAGAAAGAAGCAGUUGUUCAAAUAAGAUCUCUGACUGCUGAAGUGCUGAUCCCCUUGAUUAUGAAUAAAACUACUAAAAAGGAGAUAAAGUGUCAAUAUUAAACAAACAUAAUUACAAAUUCAAUAAGAAAAAUAUUGCUCUUCUCUACCUGCAUACAGUAUUACAGAAGAUGAGAAAUCUGAAGAUUUUACUGCAAAUUAUUAAUCACUAAAACCUAAAACCAAGAAAUAACUAUAUACUAAGAUAUGCUAUUUUUUCUCUUG